CAUAGAUUGACACCUGGGUUUUCUCAUCUACCUUUCCCUGUUCAAACCCAGUUCCUCUUUAUCAGAAUGAACAAGAAAUCCAUGAAAAACGAAUGCAUUAAACAUCAUUCAGGGAUAAAACUUUAAUGACAUACAUAAUAUGUUCUAGGUAUUACCCAUUUCAGACUUUUUCCAGUUUAUUUUGAAUCUAAAAUUAACUCUCCUUUUCCUGUACACAGAAAGAAGGAGAAAACUGAAGCAGUAAUUCAGAAGACUAAAGCAAAAUAAGGUACUGUCCCUAAAAUAAAAAAUAGGAAUAACUCUUAAAUAUUAGGAUUUUGGUCUGUUUGUUCUUUAACCUACUGGGUUAUCUCCCUCAGUUUCCCACUCUUUUGCAAACAAUAUCUAAC
RNAcentral lists this long non-coding RNA (389 nucleotides) under Bos taurus (domestic cattle). RNAcentral describes it as "long non-coding RNA NONBTAT024338". The record is from RNAcentral. Lineage: Eukaryota; Metazoa; Chordata; Mammalia; Artiodactyla; Bovidae.